AUUUGAGACCUUCGUUUCCUCGGCGGGUCCGCCCGCCGAUUGGACAACAUUCAAACCCUUUGCAGUUGCAAUCAGCGUCUGAAAAAACAUAAUAGUUACAACUUUCAACAACGGAUCUCUUGGUUCUGGCAUCGAUGAAGAACGCAGCGAAAUGCGAUAAGUAGUGUGAAUUGCAGAAUUCAGUGAAUCAUCGAAUCUUUGAACGCACAUUGCGCCCCUUGGUAUUCCAUGGGGCAUGCCUGUUCGAGCGUCAUUUGUACCUUCAAGCUCUGCUUGGUGUUGGGUGUUUGUCUCGCCUCUGCGUGUAGACUCGCCUUAAAACAAUUGGCAGCCGGCGUAUUGAUUUCGGAGCGCAGUACAUCUCGCGCUUUGCACUCAUAACGACGACGUCCAAAAGUACAUUUUUACACUCUUGACCUCGGAUCAGGUAGGGAUACCCGCUGAACUUAAGCAUAUCAUA
RNAcentral lists this ribosomal RNA (460 nucleotides) under Epicoccum nigrum. Its description in RNAcentral is "eukaryotic LSU rRNA". The stretch from base 100 to 253 matches the Rfam family "5.8S ribosomal RNA". The record is from RNAcentral. Lineage: Eukaryota; Fungi; Ascomycota; Dothideomycetes; Pleosporales; Didymellaceae.